AUCCCAGCCCCUGCAGUGAUGACUGGGUUUUCAUGCUCCGUGCAUGAUAUGUGCCUCCUUUGAACCUUGUUAUGACAUCGGCACAUUACCCAUCUGACA
This is a small nucleolar RNA of Cavia porcellus (domestic guinea pig), 99 nucleotides long. It matches the Rfam family "Small nucleolar RNA U13". Lineage: Eukaryota; Metazoa; Chordata; Mammalia; Rodentia; Caviidae. The record is from Rfam.